Papaver somniferum (opium poppy) is the source of this 1924-nucleotide long non-coding RNA. RefSeq lists it as uncharacterized. NCBI's taxonomy places the organism in Eukaryota, Viridiplantae, Streptophyta, Magnoliopsida, Ranunculales, Papaveraceae. The transcript has 3 exons. The record is from RefSeq and is a predicted model, not a curated record.
UCUUUCUCUUUCUUUCUCGUUCUUCUUCUCUUUUAUUUCUCUUCCUGUUCUUCUUCUUCUGCGAAUUUUAGAGAGUCAAAUGGAGGUUUUAUGAUCAGCAGAAGGUGGAAAAGAUCAUGCAGUAGUCGUCGGUGAUGGUGAUGGUGUCUGUGGUGGAUUCAGACUCGAAGGAAGAAGAGAUUUAGAAGCUAGGGUUUGGAAAAAGAACUCAGAGAAUGAUAAGAAGAUGAAAUCGAUAUUCUAAGAUGUUGUUAUGAGAUGGGUUUGAAUUGAAUUAGAGUUUUAAGUUGAAGAACAAUCUAAAUUUGAUAGUUGGGGUUGUGAUUCUGUUUGAGUGAAGAUUUUGGGAAUUAGCUGUGAUGAACUUUGGAUUAGGGGUUAUCUGGUGAUAAGCUGAAACGAAUCAAUCAAUCUAAGAAAUGGGUUGAUUUCAACUGGUGGAGUUAUUCAGGUGCUGAUACAAACACAGAGAGAUUGUGGGAAAAGGUAAUUCAGAGUCUCUUAUGUGUAAACUUUCUUCUAAGGUUCAUAGAAUGUAUGAAUGGAUUAUAGCUAGUAGAAGAAUAGGUUUGUGUAAUUGUUUUCUAUAAAUCGUAUUUCUUAUUGAAUUGAGUUGGAUGAAGAGAAUUACGGAUUCUGUGAAUUAAUUGGGAAUGCAAGUUAAGUUUGUUUGAUACAGAAAUGGUGUUAUGUAGUUGAGGUGGAACCAUAGUGUGUAUGGAAUUGGUGGUGGCUUGCUGGAAUUACUGGUGGUGCUGGUGUAGAAAAUUGUAGGUAAUAAGAAGUGAGUAUGAUCUCAAUUGAAGUGCAGAUGGAGUCAUAGUGUUAUGAUAUAACUGAGUUAGUAACACUGUUGAGAUUGUUGGUGGUAUUGAACUGGAUUUGUUGUUUAGGUUGGUGUGGAUUGGAGUUGUUAUGGUUUGGGUGUUUGAGUAGAUGAUGUAUGAAUGGGGGUUACAGGUAGUGGUGGUGUUCUUAUUGCUGUUGUGGUGUGGUGGAAUGCAGGGAAGGAUUAGAAGUAUGUUAAUAGAGGAUAUGUGAAGAUGUAUGUUAAGAUUUGGAGAUGAUGACGAUAUUGAAUUGGCAGUGUCAAGAUAAUGAUGUUACAGUGGCAGUUUAGUUUUGUUGGUGGUUUAAGAUGAUGGUUGUCUGUGUGUUCAAGUUGCGGGGGAUAUGAGUGAUAUGCUGAAGUUGUGAAGGUGCAGUUUGUAGUUAUAAUGGAUCUGAAUUAGGUUGUGUUGAAGUACAUAGAGCUUGGGUUAUAAACUGAGUUGAGGUUGAAUUAUGAGUUAGGUCUGCAGAGGGUUGUGAUUAAGUUUGGUGAUGAAUAUAGAGUUGCAGUUAGAUUGCUGUGAAAGCUUGGAACUGCAUUUGCAGUUAGUCUAUAUUAAGAACGAUCGAUUCAAAUGAUGAACCAGUGGAUCGUGGAUCUCGAGGUAGGCGUGGUUUGUCAUCAAAAGAGGAUUAGCUCCUUCGCAUUUAUACAUAUUAUAUGUUUAAUCGGUGUGGAAUUGGCAUCAAUAUUACUAAUCGGUGUGGAAGCGGGCAUCAAUAUUAUACAUUGUUUGAAGAAGGAGUUUGUCCAUAUACCUGUUUGUUUAUUUCAGUGACUCGGUCCCUUUUUUUAAUGUUCGCGGAAAACAUUAUUGUUUUCCAAAUCUUGCCUUGAUUACUUAAAAGUUAAAUGUUAUUCCUACGGGGCACCCCUUUUAGGGAUGAUGUGCUCACUCAUUCCCACUUUCAGUUUCAAAGACAGAUCAGAGUUGUGCAGCAAAAGCUCCGAGGAGUUGAGUCCGUUUGUUAGAUUACUUCGGCUAGGUUUAUUAUGUUGCAUAUUAUAUUUGAAAACUAUAUGACUAUUGUAUAUGUAUCAUUUGAGAGGAGUUCUUGUAUAUAGAUAUUUCUGAGUGGGUUAAGUUUGUAU